UGACUGUCUCUAGAAGAAAGAAAGGAGCCUGCAUCGAGAAGUCAUUAAGCUAGAGAAGGAGAAAUAAAAAUAAAAGACAGCUUUGCUUCAGGCUCACUCCUCACAUGCCCAUGCUCACUGUGAUAAUGUAAGCCUCGACCAGCUGAUUUUUCAUCAUGUGAAGUGUGGGCAGCUCAUGGCCAAAUUGUCUCAUCCCGUGAUUCUGUGCAAGGCCAAGGAGGAAUGGUACCUGAUGCCUGCCUGACUGCUAGUGCCUGAUCACAAGGAAAUGCAGUAUUUUGAUGGAAGAGCAUACACUGUUCAUUUGAGAAACAAUUGCCAGGGAAACUAAGCACCUCUGAUGCGGUCGUAGUUGUGCCAUGGCAGUAGUCUUCCCUGUCACUCCUGUGCUGGCACACCACCUCAGAUCCUACUUUGGAGCCAUCCUAAGCCCCCAUUUCCUCAGUGAACAGCAGCUGGCCAUUCCCAGUCCCAGGCAACCUCUUGUAGAUGGGCUCGCGGUCUGCCAGGCCUCCAUUC
Molecule: long non-coding RNA, 519 nt
Organism: Centrocercus urophasianus (Greater sage-grouse)
Lineage: Eukaryota; Metazoa; Chordata; Aves; Galliformes; Phasianidae
Exons: 3
Source: RefSeq, a predicted model, not a curated record